Molecule: non-coding RNA, 410 nt
Organism: Pelobates cultripes (western spadefoot toad)
Lineage: Eukaryota; Metazoa; Chordata; Amphibia; Anura; Pelobatidae
Source: the annotation of a GenBank genome assembly
GAGUGCCAAGUUUCUCCGUCUUUUAUACCUUUUUAGCAAGUUUGUAACUUUUCCAAGAUUUCUUAUCAGUGCAGCCCAGCAUGUAUCUUGUCAUGCGCACUAGGUCAUCAGUAUGGUUGAUCAGGCCAGUCGUGACCACCCAAGGCUCAUGCCAGAUACAUGCGGUAUCUUAUCUAUCUAUGUCCCUACUCUUAUCUCUCCAUACAUUUGUUGGCACCAAUUCCCUCUGUUCAGCAGUAGGCCUUUUUGGAUAUUGGCCAGACAUGCUAUGGAAUAUUCCAGGCAAUGUUGAAUUUCUUAGUGCGACACAGUUUAAGCAUUUUAUGCAAUGUCAUCAUAACUGAAUUUCUUAGUGCGACACAAGUUGAAUUUCUUAGUGCGACACAGUUUAAGCCAAGUGCCAUCUUAAC